UAAGGAAUAUUGGUCAAUGGAGGCAACUCUGAACCAGCCAUGCCGCGUGCAGGAAGACAGCCCUCUGGGUCGUAAACUGCUUUUAUUCGGGAAUAAACCUAUUUACGUGUAGAUAGCUGAAUGUACCGAAGGAAUAAGGAUCGGCUAACUCCGUGCCAGCAGCCGCGGUAAUACGGAGGAUCCAAGCGUUAUCCGGAUUUAUUGGGUUUAAAGGGUGCGUAGGCGGCUUAUUAAGUCAGGGGUGAAAGACGGUGGCUCAACCAUCGCAGUGCCCUUGAUACUGAUGAGCUUGAAUACACUAGAGGUAGGCGGAAUGUGACAAGUAGCGGUGAAAUGCAUAGAUAUGUCACAGAACACCGAUUGCGAAGGCAGCUUACUAUGGUGUGAUUGACGCUGAGGCACGAAAGCGUGGGGAUCAAACA
RNAcentral lists this ribosomal RNA (422 nucleotides) under uncultured Pedobacter sp. RNAcentral describes it as "bacterial SSU rRNA". It matches the Rfam family "Bacterial small subunit ribosomal RNA", at positions 355 to 774 of the family's 1533-position model. Lineage: Bacteria; Pseudomonadati; Bacteroidota; Sphingobacteriia; Sphingobacteriales; Sphingobacteriaceae. The record is from RNAcentral.